Molecule: ribosomal RNA, 468 nt
Filed under: uncultured bacterium
Lineage: Bacteria
Description: partial 16S ribosomal RNA
Rfam family: Bacterial small subunit ribosomal RNA
Source: RNAcentral
GACGAACGCUGGCGGCGUGCUUAACACAUGCAAGUCGAACGGAAAGGCCCUGCUUUUGUGGGGUGCUCGAGUGGCGAACGGGUGAGUAACACGUGAGUAACCUGCCCUUGACUUUGGGAUAACUUCAGGAAACUGGGGCUAAUACCGGAUAGGAGCUCCUGCUGCAUGGUGGGGGUUGGAAAUUUUCGGCGGUUGGGGAUGGACUGGCGGCUUAUCAGCUUGUUGGUGGGGUAGUGGCUUACCAAGGCUUUGACGGGUAGCCGGCCUGAGAGGGUGAACGGCCACAUUGGGACUGAGAUACGGCGCAGACUGCUACGGGAGGCAGCAGUGGGGAAUAUUGCACAAUGGGAGGAAGCCUGAUGCAGCAACGCCGCGUGCGGGAUGACGGCCUUCGGGUUGUAAACCGCUUUCGCCUGUGACGAAGCGUGAGUGACGGUAAUGGGUAAAGAAGCACCGGCUAACUACGUG